RNAcentral lists this transfer RNA (83 nucleotides) under Acutalibacter sp. Its description in RNAcentral is "tRNA-Leu". It matches the Rfam family "tRNA". Rfam says of the family: Transfer RNA (tRNA) molecules are approximately 80 nucleotides in length. Their secondary structure includes four short double-helical elements and three loops (D, anti-codon, and T loops). Further hydrogen bonds mediate the characteristic L-shaped molecular structure. tRNAs have two regions of fundamental functional importance: the anti-codon, which is responsible for specific mRNA codon recognition, and the 3' end, to which the tRNAs corresponding amino acid is attached (by aminoacyl-tRNA synthetases). tRNAs cope with the degeneracy of the genetic code in two manners: having more than one tRNA (with a specific anti-codon) for a particular amino acid; and 'wobble' base-pairing, i.e. permitting non-standard base-pairing at the 3rd anti-codon position. The record is from RNAcentral. RNAcentral also lists the same sequence under 1 other name. Lineage: Bacteria; Bacillati; Bacillota; Clostridia; Eubacteriales; Acutalibacteraceae.
GCGGGCGUGGCGGAAUUGGCAGACGCGCCAGAUUUAGGUUCUGGUGGGUGACCGUGCAGGUUCAAGUCCUGUCGCCCGCACCA